Molecule: non-coding RNA, 34 nt
Submitted as: unclassified sequences
Source: Rfam
GAAGCGGAUGCCGAAAAGCUUAAUAGAGUAGGCC